ACAUACGACCAUAGGGUUGGAAAAUAGGGCUUCCUGUCCGCUCAGCCGUACUCAAGCCACAUGCCGGGAGGUUAGUAGUUGGGUGGGUGACCACCAGCGAAUCCCUUCUGUUGUAUGUA
Ribosomal RNA from Aspergillus niger, 119 nucleotides. Lineage: Eukaryota; Fungi; Ascomycota; Eurotiomycetes; Eurotiales; Aspergillaceae. The record is from Rfam.